GACGGAGGGUGCGAGCGUUAUUCGGAAUCAUUGGGCGUAAAGAGUGUGUAGGCGGCCGGUUAAGUCAGGCGUGAAAGCCCAGGGCUCAACCCUGGAAGUGCGUUUGAAACUGGCUGGCUUGAGUUCGGGAGAGGGAAGCGGAAUUCCUGGUGUAGAGGUGAAAUUCGUAGAUAUCAGGAGGAACAUCGGUGGCGAAGGCGGCUUCCUGGACCGAAACUGACGCUGAGGCGCGAAAGCUAGGGGAGCAAACGGG
This 253-nucleotide ribosomal RNA is filed under the name uncultured bacterium. RNAcentral's name for it is "partial 16S ribosomal RNA". It matches the Rfam family "Bacterial small subunit ribosomal RNA", at positions 524 to 776 of the family's 1533-position model. The record is from RNAcentral.